This 456-nucleotide ribosomal RNA is filed under the name uncultured bacterium. Its description in RNAcentral is "bacterial SSU rRNA". It matches the Rfam family "Bacterial small subunit ribosomal RNA", at positions 340 to 786 of the family's 1533-position model. The record is from RNAcentral.
UACGGAAGGCAGCAGGGGGAAUAUUGCACAAUGGGCGCAAGCCUGAUGCAGCCAUGCCGCGUGUAUGAAGAAGGCCUUCGGGUUGUAAAGUACUUUCAGUCGUGAGGAAGGUGUUAAGGUUAAUAACCUUAGCAAUUGACGUUAGCGACAGAAGAAGCACCGGCUAACUCCGUGCCAGCAGCCGCGGUAAUACGGAGGGUGCGAGCGUUAAUCGGAAUUACUGGGCGUAAAGGGCACGCAGGCGGUUAAUUAAGUUGGAUGUGAAAUCCCCGGGCUUAACCUGGGAAUGGCAUUCAAGACUGGUUAGCUAGAGUCUUGUAGAGGGGGUAGAAUUCCAUGUGUAGCGGUGAAAUGCGUAGAGAUGUGGAGGAAUACCGGUGGCGAAAGGCGGCCCCUGGACAAAAGACUGACGCUCAUGUGCGAAAAGCGUGGGGAGCAAAACAGGGAUUAGAUACC